GGUCAACACCCCUAACAAUGAGGGACUGGGGAAGGUUUUCUUACCUGUUUAUGUAUUUGUCUUCUCCGGAGGGAGCUGCAGAGCUGGUUUAACUCCUUGUAUAACAUUUCUGGUUGGAGGAAGCUGCUCGACCUGGUCCAGCUCCUACUUUACCACUGACUGAAGAUGCACUGGCCAUCACAAGGUCUAUUAAGAAAAACCCAACAAGAGUCAGUUCUGAAUCAU
Molecule: non-coding RNA, 225 nt
Organism: Pelobates cultripes (western spadefoot toad)
Lineage: Eukaryota; Metazoa; Chordata; Amphibia; Anura; Pelobatidae
Source: the annotation of a GenBank genome assembly